Molecule: ribosomal RNA, 468 nt
Filed under: uncultured bacterium
Lineage: Bacteria
Description: partial 16S ribosomal RNA
Rfam family: Bacterial small subunit ribosomal RNA
Source: RNAcentral
GACGAACGCUGGCGGCGUGCUUAACACAUGCAAGUCGAACGGAAAGGCCCUGCUUUUGUGGGGUGCUCGAGUGGCGAACGGGUGAGUAACACGUGAGUAACCUGCCCUUGACUUUGGGAUAACUUCAGGAAACUGGGGCUAUUACCGGAUAGGAGCUCCUGCUGCAUGGUGGGGGUUGGAAAGUUUCGGCGGUUGGGGAUGGACUAGCGGCUUAUCAGCUUGGUGGUGGGGUAGUGGCUUACCAAGGCUUUGACGGGUAGCCGGCCUGGGAGGGGUACCGGCCACAUGGGGACGGAGAUACGGCCCAGACUCGUAUGGGAGGCAGGGGUGGGGAAGAUUGCACAAGGGGCGGGAGCCUGAUGCAGCAACGCCGCGUGCGGGAUGACGGCCUUCGGGUUGGAAACCGCUUUCGCCUGUGACGAAGCGUGAGUGACGGUAAUGGGUAAAGAAGCACCGGCUAACUACGUG